Molecule: ribosomal RNA, 426 nt
Filed under: Acanthamoeba cf. healyi
Lineage: Eukaryota; Discosea; Longamoebia; Acanthamoebidae
Description: bacterial SSU rRNA
Rfam family: Eukaryotic small subunit ribosomal RNA
Source: RNAcentral
AAAAUUAGGAGUGUUCAAUGCAAGCAGAUUUAACCCUUCUGCCACCGAAUACAUUAGCAUGGGAUAAUGGAAUAGGACCCUGUCCUCCUAUUUACGUGUUGGUUUUUGAGGACCAGGGUAAUGAUUAAUAGGGAUAGUUGGGGGCAUUAAUAUUUAAUUGUCAGAGGUGAAAUUCUUGGAUUUAUGAAAGAUUAACUUCUGCGAAAGCAUCUGCCAAGGAUGUUUUCAUUAAUCAAGAACGAAAGUUAGGGGAUCGAAGACGAUCAGAUACCGUCGUAGUCUUAACCAUAAACGAUGCCGACCAGCGAUUAGGAGACGUUGAAUACAAAACACCACCAUUAACACGAUCGUUUUUUGCAAAUUUUGCCACGUACGCGUGGUGUGUGGGUGUGUGGGAAAGGAACUUUAUUUGACUUAAUGGCCCAA